GACAAAAAAGAAGAAGGUAACAAUGUGGGAGUACAGUGCUUUUUAUAGUUUCAACUCCAGGUCAAAGAUGUUAAUAAGUUAAUAAGUAUAUGGAACUCAGAAUCUCAUACUAGUAUAUGGAACUAGAAAUCUCAAACUCAUACACCGUAGAAUGUCAUGAUCUAAAUAUUUUGAAGGCUCUUACUCUAAUACUCACUAGCAUUCGAUCG
RNAcentral lists this long non-coding RNA (209 nucleotides) under Brassica napus (rape). RNAcentral describes it as "long non-coding RNA (BNAP_LNC003908)". The record is from RNAcentral. Lineage: Eukaryota; Viridiplantae; Streptophyta; Magnoliopsida; Brassicales; Brassicaceae.